UUUAAGUUUUUUAAUUGUUUACUUUUAAUUUAAAAGUUAAAAUUUUUGUUUUUAAUGUAAAAUUCUAAAAUUUAAAAAUGUUAACUUCAUUUUAUAAUAACAAACUUUAUAUUUUAAAGUAAAAAAUAUUAUUUAUAAUAUAAUCACUUUUAAAAUUGUAUUAAAAGUGAAUCCAUUUAAUUUAAAAUUUUUAAAAGUGUUAAAUUUAAAAUGUAAAGUGAUCAAUUUGCAGAAAAGUGUUAACGUUUACAUUUAAAGUGUUCACUUUAUAAAUCAAAGUGGCACUUUCUAUUUAAACGUGUUCACUUUUUAAAUCAAAGUGGCACUUUCUAUUUAAACGUGUUCACUUUGACAUUUAAGAAUUUAGAAGUGUAAACAAGAUACAAGAAAGACCAGUCAGGGUAAAAUUAUACCGGAAAACGACUUGCUGCGAAUUUUUGGCAACGAUAUCCAAAUUAAUGAGCAGGGUGAUUUAACGUACACGUGUGUUGAGGAAGAUACGGAUCUCCUUAAUCUGCUAAAGGAGUUUGAUCUGGAAACACUUUUUCUUGGCCUAAAAAGUAAGUAAAAAUUCUUCGGCAAUAUUAACACAUAUGCAUUAUUAUUAAUGUUCCUUAGAUGCUGGAAUAACUUUUCGAAGCUUAAAAUAUUUGUCGAAAGAAGACAUUGCGGAAGCAGUAAAAAAUAUUGGUCUUCGAGCAGAGUUUAGAGAAAAGUUGUUUUUCUGGCGCAAGUCAAAGUUUGGAAGACGAAACGUUGAGCCAGACUUCAAAAGUUGUUGGUUGGCUAGAAAAAAACCGUCACAAAGAUUCACCUUGUUCUUCAAAUAAUUCAAUAAGAAACGCAUUUGGAUCACAGCCCCUUUCAACAUUUUUAAACGAUAACUCAGCCGGAAAACAACUUAUUCAAUAUUAUGAGGAAUGGGCAUGUUUUACGAAUAAGCAACGCGAUGCCCUCAUUAAAAUAAUUUUAGAAGAUGUCAUGUUAACAAAGACAAAGUUUAGACCAGAACACUUUGCUAGUAUUGUGGAAGAAAUAAUUGGUUUAUUUCCCAAUGAAAAAGAGUCCCAGGAUUAUUACUACAUUCCCCGUCAAAGAAAAAAAACCCAUCAGGCAAGCUCUAUUCCAAAUAUUUUAAUUUAAAGACAAAGAUCCAUUAGUAGGCGAAAAUGUCGAAGUUGACGAAACGCUGUCGUUAUGUUUAAAAACUUCGCUUCAAAAAGAUGUCAAUAAUUGGGAUAAGGUUAUUGACAAAUGGCAAAAAACAUUUACAUUUCGGAAGAAGGAUUUGGCAAAGCCUUCGAAUUCUGAUUUUUUGCAGGAGUGGCCAAUUUUAAAAGACUCCAGAGCACCAUUUCUGGUAUUUAAAAAGAACUUUAACACAAAAUUCAAGGAUACAAAAAUUUUUAUAUUUUUUUAGAUUAAUCUAGAUUUCAAUUUGAUUUAUCCACCAAAAGAUAAUCUUUUAAAAACAAAGAGGGAUAAUUUAAAAAUUUUUUUUUUUUUUAUUUAAGAUAGUGAACUACUACUAUGCCAACAUACGGAAUCAGCAAUCAAUAGAUCUUUUGAACCAAGCAAAAACGACGAAAAAAAUUGAUAAGUUGUUGUUAACAACAAUUAGCGAUUACUCAAUACGAAUAAAAGAAAUUAUCGGUAAAUAUUUUUAUAAUAAAUUGACUGUACAGCCGUUUAUAAUUGUGGUGGGAGACUCUGAGGACGAUCUUAAAACCUUUUACAUUUACUUUGACAAAACUUUGUACAAACUAAUUUCUUUUAUUGAAAGUUUGGAUAUAUGCUUUAAAAUCUUUCAGAUUCAAAAUUUGAUUUAAAAAGUUCAAAUCUUACUUCAUUGUUAACACACAUGAAUGAAAAAAAUUAAAUUUUGUAAAUUUUUCGAUUGUAAUAAUGUAUAAAUGUUUCAGAUGUUUUCAGUUAUUUAAAAGUGUUGAUGUGCUAAUAAGACAUUUAAAACACAUGUAUUUAUUGUCAAAUAGAGAUAAACUUCAAUGCGAA
This is a long non-coding RNA of Bactrocera dorsalis (oriental fruit fly), 2013 nucleotides long. RefSeq lists it as uncharacterized. The record is from RefSeq and is a predicted model, not a curated record. Lineage: Eukaryota; Metazoa; Arthropoda; Insecta; Diptera; Tephritidae. The transcript has 4 exons.